RNAcentral lists this ribosomal RNA (305 nucleotides) under uncultured bacterium. RNAcentral describes it as "bacterial SSU rRNA". It matches the Rfam family "Bacterial small subunit ribosomal RNA", at positions 338 to 660 of the family's 1533-position model. The record is from RNAcentral.
CCUACGGGACGCAGCAGUGGGGAAUAUUGCACAAUGGGGGAAACCCUGAUGCAGCGACGCCGCGUGAGUGAAGAAGUAUUUCGGUAUGUAAAGCUCUAUCAGCAGGGAAGAUAAUGACGGUACCUGACUAAGAAGCUCCGGCUAAAUACGUGCCAGCAGCCGCGGUAAUACGUAUGGAGCAAGCGUUGUCCGGAUUUAUUGGGUGUAAAGGGUGCGUAGACGGGAAAUUAAGUUAGUUGUGAAAUCCCUCGGCUUAACUGAGGAACUGCAACUAAAACUGAUUUUCUUGAGUGUUGGAGAGGAAA